GGCAAGUCGAACGCGAAAGUUUUCUUCGGAAAGCGAGUAGAGUGGCGCACGGGUGAGUAACGCGUAAAUAAUCUACCCUGAUGUCUGGGAUAACCCUUCGAAAGGGGGACUAAUACCGGGUAUAUGGUUAUCUGUUGGGAUAACCAGGAAAGGUGGCCUCUAUUUAUAAGCUAUCGCAUUGGGAUGAGUUUGCGUACCAUUAGCUAGUUGGUGAGGUAACGGCCCACCAAGGCGACGAUGGUUAGCGGGUCUGAGAGGAUGAUCCGUCACACUGGCACUGGAACACGGGCCAGACUCCUACGGGAGGCAGCAGUGAGGAAUAUUGCGCAAUGGGGGGAACCCUGACGCAGCGACGCCGCGUGAGUGAGGAAGGCCUUCGGGUCGUAAAGCUCUGUCAGAAGGGAAGAAGUGUAUUGCGGUUAAUACCCGUAGUAUUUGACGGUACCUUCAGAGGAAGCACCGGCUAACUCCGUGCCAGCAGCCGCGGUAAUACGGAGGGUGCGAGCGUUGUUCGGAAUCACUGGGCGUAAAGGGCGCGCAGGCGGUUUGUUUAGGUCAGAUGUGAAAGC
Molecule: ribosomal RNA, 569 nt
Filed under: uncultured delta proteobacterium
Lineage: Bacteria; Deltaproteobacteria
Description: bacterial SSU rRNA
Rfam family: Bacterial small subunit ribosomal RNA
Source: RNAcentral